Molecule: ribosomal RNA, 254 nt
Filed under: uncultured bacterium
Lineage: Bacteria
Description: partial 16S ribosomal RNA
Rfam family: Bacterial small subunit ribosomal RNA
Source: RNAcentral
UACGUAGGGGCCAAGCGUUGUCCGGAUUUAUUGGGCGUAAAGAGCUCGUAGGUGGUUCGGCAAGUCAGUUAUGAAAUCUCCGCGCUCAACGCGGAGGGGUCAGCUGAAACUGCUGUGACUUGAGUCUGGUAGGGGAGUGUGGAAUUCCCGGUGUAGCGGUGAAAUGCGCAGAUAUCUGGAGGAACACCGGUGGCGAAGGCGGCGUUCUGGACUGCAACUGACGCUGAGGAACGAAAGCCAGGGGAGCAAACGGG